UACGACUGGUGCUAGCGUUGCUCGGACUUCCUGGGCGUAAAGCGCACGUAGGCGGACUGUUACGUCGGAUGUGAAAGCCCUCGGCUUAACCGAGGAAGUGCAUUCGAAACUGGCAGUCUUGAGUACAGAAGAGGGUCGCGGAAUUCCCGGUGUAGAGGUGAAAUUCGUAGAUAUCGGGAGGAACACCAGUGGCGAAGGCGGCGACCUGGGCUGAUACUGACGCUGAGGUGCGAAAGCGUGGGGAGCAAACAGG
Molecule: ribosomal RNA, 253 nt
Filed under: uncultured bacterium
Lineage: Bacteria
Description: partial 16S ribosomal RNA
Rfam family: Bacterial small subunit ribosomal RNA
Source: RNAcentral